This 22-nucleotide microRNA is filed under the name Echinococcus granulosus. Its description in RNAcentral is "egr-miR-10283-3p". Lineage: Eukaryota; Metazoa; Platyhelminthes; Cestoda; Cyclophyllidea; Taeniidae. The record is from miRBase by way of RNAcentral.
UGCCCCCCACUUUCCCGCCUUU